RNAcentral lists this ribosomal RNA (467 nucleotides) under uncultured bacterium. Its description in RNAcentral is "partial 16S ribosomal RNA". It matches the Rfam family "Bacterial small subunit ribosomal RNA", at positions 28 to 507 of the family's 1533-position model. The record is from RNAcentral.
GACGAACGCUGGCGGCGUGCUUAACACAUGCAAGUCGAACGGAAAGGCCCUGCUUUUGUGGGGUGCUCGAGUGGCGAACGGGUGAGUAACACGUGAGUAACCUGCCCUUGACUUUGGGAUAACUUCAGGAAACUGGGGCUAAUACCGGAUAGGAGCUCCUGCUGCAUGGUGGGGGUUGGAAAGUUUCGGCGGUUGGGGAUGGACUCGCGGCUUAUCAGCUUGUUGGUGGGGUAGUGGCUUACCAAGGCUUUGACGGGUAGUGGCCUGAGAGGGUGACCGGCCACAUUGGGACUGAGAUACGGCCCAGACUCCUACGGGAGGCAGCAGUGGGGAAUAUUGCACAAUGGGCGGAAGCCUGAUGCAGCAACGCCGCGUGCGGGAUGACGGCCUUCGGGUUGUAAACCGCUUUCGCCUGUGACGAAGCGUGAGUGACGGUAAUGGGUAAAGAAGCACCGGCUAACUACGUG